Molecule: ribosomal RNA, 404 nt
Filed under: uncultured bacterium
Lineage: Bacteria
Description: bacterial SSU rRNA
Rfam family: Bacterial small subunit ribosomal RNA
Source: RNAcentral
UGGGGAAUAUUGCACAAUGGGGGAAACCCUGAUGCAGCGACGCCGCGUGAGUGAAGAAGUAAUUCGUUAUGUAAAGCUCUAUCAGCAGGGAAGAGAAUGACGGUACCUGAGUAAGAAGCCCCGGCUAACUACGUGCCAGCAGCCGCGGUAAUACGUAGGGGGCAAGCGUUAUCCGGAUUUACUGGGUGUAAAGGGAGCGUAGACGGCUUGGCAAGUCUGAAGUGAAAGCCCGCGGCUCAACCGCGGAACUGCUUUGGAAACUUUUAAGCUGGAGUAUCGGAGAGGUAAGCGGAAUUCCUAGUGUAGCGGUGAAAUGCGUAGAUAUUAGGAGGAACACCAGUGGCGAAGGCGGCUUACUGGACUGUAACUGACGUUGAGGCUCGAAAGCGUGGGGAGCAAACAGG